ACAAUUAUUCGCUUUUGCCUUUAGCCUAAUUCGUAUUUUCUCGUCAUCAAUAGUGGAGAAGAAAAUUCUAGAAGUUGCAACAAUUAUUUUGGGUAUGUUCUUCUUAUAAUUUUUCUUUUUUGUGUAUUUCUUUUUUUAUUUUCUUACUAUUUAUUUAAGGUACGUAGUUUUCCUUUGUUUGUAGAUGAAAAACUAGCUGGGUUCGUCUUCCUUUAGCUCCAUAUAAGGUAUGUUCUCGUUUCUGUACAUGCAUGAAAAUAUAUCUACGUUUACAUAUUCAUGGUUCAUGAGGUUGAAGGUCAUGAAUUUUCGCCGUUUCGAAGCUGGUGAGGAAUCAACUAUCAUCAUUCAUAGCCAACUUCAACAAUUUCACUCCAUUUUUCAUUCACUGUAGAAGAAAAUGAAAUUGCACUGGACGCAAAAAAAAAUGUUAAUAGAGGGUGAAAAUUAUAUAGAUGUGUACAUACACAUUUACAUACAUACAUGUUUACGUGUGUGAGGAGAGGGG
Molecule: long non-coding RNA, 508 nt
Filed under: Olea europaea subsp. europaea
Lineage: Eukaryota; Viridiplantae; Streptophyta; Magnoliopsida; Lamiales; Oleaceae
Source: RNAcentral